CAGCGUGCCCGCCUGCUCCUGCUGCUCGCCCUGCUCGCCCUGUGCCUGCGCCUCGGCCAGGCCAAGGAUGAUCCUCCCAAAGAUGCUGCCCCGAGCAACGUCACGAGCAGCAUCAGCCGGAGCCCGCCCUGCGCCAGCCCCCCGCUCCUGCCCAUCGCCCUGGGGGUGCUGGCAGCGCUCCUGCUGCACCUGCGCUGAGCCGGAGGGUCCCUGGGGCCCCGAGAACACCGUCCCCGAGGUGGCAUCCCCCGGACGGCACCGCUCCCGUUCCUGCCGCCCUCCGCUGCCCUCGUGCCCCCGCUUUCGGGGAGCAAAGCAAUAAACGCGCUGGUGCCGACA
This is a non-coding RNA of Sturnus vulgaris (Common starling), 339 nucleotides long. The record is from RefSeq and is a predicted model, not a curated record. NCBI's taxonomy places the organism in Eukaryota, Metazoa, Chordata, Aves, Passeriformes, Sturnidae.